GGGUGAGUAACGCGUUGGUGACCUACCCCAAAGUGUGGGAUAACAGUCCGAAAGGAUUGCUAAUACCACAUGUGGUCUCCGGGUUUAGAAACCGGUGACUAAAGGAGCAAUUCGCUUUGGGAGGGACCUGCGUCCCAUCAGCUAGUUGGUGAGGUAAUGGCUCACCAAGGCGACGACGGGUAGGGGACCUGAGAGGGUGGCCCCCCACAAUGGAACUGAAACACGGUCCAUACACCUACGGGUGGCAGCAGUAGGGAAUAUUGGUCAAUGGGCGAAAGCCUGAACCAGCAACGCCGCGUGUGCGAUGAAGGCCUUCGGGUCGUAAAGCACUUUUCUGGGAGAUGAGAAAGGACAGUAUCCCAGGAAUAAGUCUCGGCUAACUACGUGCCAGCAGCCGCGGUAAAACGUAGGAGGCGAGCGUUAUCCGGAUUCACUGGGCGUAAAGCGCGUGCAGGUGGCUUGGUAAGUUAGGCGUGAAAUCUCCCGGCUCAACUGGGAGAGGUCGUCUAAUACUACCGGGCUUGAGAGCAGAAGAGGAAGAUGGAAUUCCCGGUGUAGUGGUGAAAUGCGUAGAUAUCGGGAGGAACACCAGUGGCGAAGGCGAUCUUCUGGUCUGUUUCUGACACUCAGACGCGACAGCUAGGGUAGUAAACGGGAUUAGAGACCCCGGUAAUCCUAGCCGUAAACGAUGUAAACUUGGCGUUGGUGGGUUAAACUCCAUCAGUGCCGCAGCAAACGC
RNAcentral lists this ribosomal RNA (739 nucleotides) under uncultured Chloroflexus sp. Its description in RNAcentral is "bacterial SSU rRNA". It matches the Rfam family "Bacterial small subunit ribosomal RNA", at positions 104 to 858 of the family's 1533-position model. The record is from RNAcentral. Lineage: Bacteria; Bacillati; Chloroflexota; Chloroflexia; Chloroflexales; Chloroflexaceae.